UUUGCUCAUGGGCGAAAGCCUGAACAGCAACGCCGCGUGCGUGAUGAAGGUCUUCGGAUCGUAAAGCGCUUUUCUGGGAGAUGAGAAAGGACAGUAUCCCAGGAAUAAGUCUCGGCUAACUACGUGCCAGCAGCCGCGGUAAAACGUAGGAGGCAAGCGUUAUCCGGAUUCACNUGGGCGUAAAGCGCGUGCAGGUGGCGUGGUAAGUUGGAUGUGAAAUCUCCCGGCUCAACUGGGAGAGGUCAUUCAAUACUACCAUGCUUGAGAGCAGAAGAGGAAGAUGGAAUUCCCGGUGUAGUGGUGAAAUGCGUAGAUAUCGGGAGGAACACCAGUGGCGAAGGCGAUCUUCUGGUCUGUUUCUGACACUCAGACGCGACAGCUAGGGUAGUAAACGGGAUUAGAGACCCCGGUAAUCCUAGCCGUAAACGAUGUGAACUUGGCGUUGGUGGGUUAAACUCCAUCAGUGCCGUAGCAAACGCGAUAAGUUCACCGCCUGGGGACUACGGCCGCAAGGUUAAAACUCAAAGAAAUUGACGGA
This 538-nucleotide ribosomal RNA is filed under the name uncultured bacterium. RNAcentral's name for it is "bacterial SSU rRNA". It matches the Rfam family "Bacterial small subunit ribosomal RNA", at positions 363 to 917 of the family's 1533-position model. The record is from RNAcentral.